AUUGAUUGGUGGUUGAUCAUGAUUUACAUUUGAGUGAGUGGCGAACUGGUGAGUAACACGUGGGAAACCUGCCCAGAAGCGGGGGAUAACACCUGGAAACAGAUGCUAAUACCGCAUAACAACUUGGACCGCAUGGUCCGAGUUUGAAAGAUGGCUUCGGCUAUCACUUUUGGAUGGUCCCGCGGCGUAUUAGCUAGAUGGUGGGGUAACGGCUCACCAUGGCAAUGAUACGUAGCCGACCUGAGAGGGUAAUCGGCCACAUUGGGACUGAGACACGGCCCAAACUCCUACGGGAGGCAGCAGUAGGGAAUCUUCCACAAUGGACGAAAGUCUGAUGGAGCAACGCCGCGUGAGUGAAGAAGGGUUUCGGCUCGUAAAACUCUGUUGUUAAAGAAGAACAUAUCUGAGAGUAACUGUUCAGGUAUUGACGGUAUUUAACCAGAAAGCCACGGCUAACUACGUGCCAGCAGCCGCGGUAAUACGUAGGUGGCAAGCGUUGUCCGGAUUUAUUGGGCGUAAAGCGAGCGCAGGCGGUUUUUUAAGUCUGAUGUGAAAGCCUUCGGCUCAACCGAAGAAGUGCAUCGGAAACUGGGAAACUUGAGUGCAGAAGAGGACAGUGGAACUCCAUGUGUAGCGGUGAAAUGCGUAGAUAUAUGGAAGAACACCAGUGGCGAAGGCGGCUGUCUGGUCUGUAACUGACGCUGAGGCUCGAAAGUAUGGGUAGCAAACAGGAUUAGAUACCCUGGUAGU
Molecule: ribosomal RNA, 750 nt
Filed under: Lactiplantibacillus plantarum
Lineage: Bacteria; Bacillati; Bacillota; Bacilli; Lactobacillales; Lactobacillaceae
Description: bacterial SSU rRNA
Rfam family: Bacterial small subunit ribosomal RNA
Source: RNAcentral